ACGGGUGAGUAACACGUAAGGAACCUGCCUCAAGGAUUGGGAUAACUCCGAGAAAUCGGAGCUAAUACCGGAUAGUUCAUCGGACCGCAUGGUCCGUUGAUGAAAGGCGCUCCGGCGUCACCUUGAGAUGGCCUUGCGGUGCAUUAGCUAGUUGGUGGGGUAACGGCCCACCAAGGCGACGAUGCAUAGCCGACCUGAGAGGGUGAUCGGCCACACUGGGACUGAGACACGGCCCAGACUCCUACGGGAGGCAGCAGUAGGGAAUCUUCCACAAUGGACGAAAGUCUGAUGGAGCAACGCCGCGUGAGUGAUGAAGGUUUUCGGAUCGUAAAACUCUGUUGUAAGGGAAGAACACGUACGAGAGGGAAUGCUCGUACCUUGACGGUACCUUACGAGAAAGCCACGGCUAACUACGUGCCAGCAGCCGCGGUAAUACGUAGGUGGCAAGCGUUGUCCGGAAUUAUUGGGCGUAAAGCGCGCGCAGGCGGCCUUUUAAGUCUGAUGUGAAAGCCCCCGGCUCAACCGGGGAGGGCCAUUGGAAACUGGAAGGCUUGAGUACAGAAGAGA
Molecule: ribosomal RNA, 567 nt
Filed under: uncultured bacterium
Lineage: Bacteria
Description: bacterial SSU rRNA
Rfam family: Bacterial small subunit ribosomal RNA
Source: RNAcentral